GAUGAACGCUGGCGGCGUGCCUAAUACAUGCAAGUCGAGCGAACGGACGAGAAGCUUGCUUCUCUGAUGUUAGCGGCGGACGGGUGAGUAACACGUGGAUAACCUACCUAUAAGACUGGGAUAACUUCGGGAAACCGGAGCUAAUACCGGAUGAUAUUUUGAACCGCAUGGUUCAAAAGUGAAAGACGGUCUUGCUGUCACUUAUAGAUGGAUCCGCGCUGCAUUAGCUAGUUGGUAAGGUAACGGCUUACCAAGGCAACGAUGCAUAGCCGACCCGAGAGGGUGAUCGGCCACACUGGAGCUGAGACACGGUCCAGACUCCUACGGGAGGCAGCAGUAGGGAAUCUUCCGCAAUGGGCGAAAGCCUGACGGAGCAACGCCGCGUGAGUGAUGAAGGUCUUCGGAUCGUAAAACUCUGUUAUUAGGGAAGAACAUAUGUGUAAGUAACUGUGCACAUCUUGACGGUACCUAAUCAGAAAGCCACGGCUAACUACGU
This 496-nucleotide ribosomal RNA is filed under the name uncultured bacterium. RNAcentral describes it as "partial 16S ribosomal RNA". It matches the Rfam family "Bacterial small subunit ribosomal RNA", at positions 28 to 506 of the family's 1533-position model. The record is from RNAcentral.